GGGCUAUUAGCUCAGUUGGUUAGAGCGCACCCCUGAUAAGGGUGAGGCCCCUGGUUCAAGUCCAGGAUAGCCCA
Molecule: transfer RNA, 74 nt
Filed under: Prionitis sternbergii
Lineage: Eukaryota; Rhodophyta; Florideophyceae; Halymeniales; Halymeniaceae
Also listed under: 1 other name
Description: tRNA-Ile
Rfam family: tRNA
About the family: Transfer RNA (tRNA) molecules are approximately 80 nucleotides in length. Their secondary structure includes four short double-helical elements and three loops (D, anti-codon, and T loops).
Source: RNAcentral